GACGAACGCUGGCGGCGUGCUUAACACAUGCAAGUCGAACGGAAAGGCCCUGCUUUUGUGGGGUGCUCGAGUGGCGAACGGGUGAGUAACACGUGAGUAACCUGCCCUUGACUUUGGGAUAACUUCAGGAAACUGGGGCUAAUACCGGAUAGGAGCUCCUGCUGCAUGGUGGGGGUUGGAAAGUUUCGGCGGUUGGGGAUGGACUCGCGGCUUAUCAGCUUGUUGGUGGGGUAGUGGCUUACCAAGGCUUUGACGGGUAGCCGGCCUGAGAGGGUGACCGGCCACAUUGGGACUGAGAUACGGCCCAGACUCCUAAGGGAGGCAGCAGUGGGGAAUAUUGCACAAUGGGCGGAAGCCUGAUGCAGCAACGCCGCGUGCGGGAUGACGGCCUUCGGGUUGUAAACCGCUUUCGCCUGUGACGAAGCGUGAGUGUCGGUAAUGGGUAAAGAAGCACCGGCUAACUACGUG
This 468-nucleotide ribosomal RNA is filed under the name uncultured bacterium. RNAcentral describes it as "partial 16S ribosomal RNA". It matches the Rfam family "Bacterial small subunit ribosomal RNA", at positions 28 to 507 of the family's 1533-position model. The record is from RNAcentral.